GACGAACGCUGGCGGCGUGCUUAACACAUGCAAGUCGAACGGGCCUGCCUGGCUUUGGUUGGGUGGGUGAGUGGCGAACGGGUGAGUAACACGUGAGUAACCUGCCCUCUUCUCUUGGAUAACUGCUUGAAAGGGCGGCUAAUACGGGAUGUUCUGGCUGCCUCGCAUGGGGUGGUUUGGAAAGAUUCGGCCUGGUUUUGGUUGUUUUGGUGGGGGAUGGGCUCGCGGCUUAUCAGCUUGUUGGUGGGGUGAUGGCCUACCAAGGCGGUGACGGGUAGCCGGCCUGAGAGGGUGGACGGUCACACUGGGACUGAGACACGGCCCAGACUCCUGCGGGAGGCAGCAGUGGGGGAUUUUGCACAAUGGGCGCAAGCCUGAUGCAGCGACGCCGCGUGAGGGAUGGAGGCCUUCGGGUUGUGAACCUCUGUCGCCGGUGAUGUAGGCUCUGCUUUGUGGGUGGGGUUGACGUAGCC
Molecule: ribosomal RNA, 473 nt
Filed under: Actinomyces sp. oral taxon 448
Lineage: Bacteria; Bacillati; Actinomycetota; Actinomycetes; Actinomycetales; Actinomycetaceae
Description: bacterial SSU rRNA
Rfam family: Bacterial small subunit ribosomal RNA
Source: RNAcentral